CGCGUUUCUCCCUCUCGUUCGCACACCCUAGACGGAACAAAGGCCUCUGCCUCCCCCUUUCUUGCGCAACCCGAAGCCCAUCGCCGCUCGUCUUUGACCUACUGCCCUAGGCGCACGAUCACUGUCGCCGGCCCUCUCUCACGCACAGGUUUUUAGAGAAGUCAUAAAGUAAUUGCUACAGUGGGAGGAAAUGCUAAAUCGCUCACAAUGAUGGGAGGCUUUCUCACCAGAGUUUCUGUGGUUUUAUUUGUUGUACUGACAGUUUAUAAGAGAGUUGGAGAUGCCCUCAUUUCACUGUAAUAAGCAU
This is a long non-coding RNA of Dendrobium catenatum, 307 nucleotides long. RefSeq lists it as uncharacterized. The transcript is spliced from 3 exons. The record is from RefSeq and is a predicted model, not a curated record. NCBI's taxonomy places the organism in Eukaryota, Viridiplantae, Streptophyta, Magnoliopsida, Asparagales, Orchidaceae.